This 87-nucleotide transfer RNA is filed under the name Halioglobus sp. Its description in RNAcentral is "tRNA-Leu". It matches the Rfam family "tRNA". Rfam says of the family: Transfer RNA (tRNA) molecules are approximately 80 nucleotides in length. Their secondary structure includes four short double-helical elements and three loops (D, anti-codon, and T loops). Further hydrogen bonds mediate the characteristic L-shaped molecular structure. tRNAs have two regions of fundamental functional importance: the anti-codon, which is responsible for specific mRNA codon recognition, and the 3' end, to which the tRNAs corresponding amino acid is attached (by aminoacyl-tRNA synthetases). tRNAs cope with the degeneracy of the genetic code in two manners: having more than one tRNA (with a specific anti-codon) for a particular amino acid; and 'wobble' base-pairing, i.e. permitting non-standard base-pairing at the 3rd anti-codon position. Lineage: Bacteria; Pseudomonadati; Pseudomonadota; Gammaproteobacteria; Cellvibrionales; Halieaceae. The record is from RNAcentral.
GCCGGUGUGGUGGAAUUGGUAGACACGUCGGAUUCAAAAUCCGAUGCCCUUAAAAGCGUGACGGUUCGAGUCCGUCCACCGGUACCA